RNAcentral lists this ribosomal RNA (403 nucleotides) under Fusobacteriota bacterium. Its description in RNAcentral is "Fusobacteria bacterium partial 16S ribosomal RNA". It matches the Rfam family "Bacterial small subunit ribosomal RNA", at positions 355 to 776 of the family's 1533-position model. Lineage: Bacteria; Fusobacteriati; Fusobacteriota. The record is from RNAcentral.
UGGGGAAUAUUGCACAAUGGAGGGAACUCUGAUGCAGCGACGCCGCGUGAACGAAGAAGGCUUUCGAGUCGUAAAGUUCUUUUAUAUGGGAAGAUAAUGACGGUACCAUAAGAAAAAGCCCCGGCUAACUACGUGCCAGCAGCCGCGGUAAUACGUAGGGGGCUAGCGUUGUCCGGAAUCACUGGGCGUAAAGGGUUCGCAGGCGGAAAUGCAAGUCAGGUGUAAAAGGCAGUAGCUUAACUACUGUAAGCAUUUGAAACUGCAUAUCUUGAGAAGAGUAGAGGUAAGUGGAAAUUUUAGUGUAGCGGUGAACUGCGUAGAUAUUAAAAAGAAUACCGGUGGCGAAGGCGACUUACUGGGCACAUUCUGACGCUGAGGAACGAAAGCGUGGGUAGCAAACAGG